RNAcentral lists this ribosomal RNA (253 nucleotides) under uncultured bacterium. RNAcentral's name for it is "partial 16S ribosomal RNA". It matches the Rfam family "Bacterial small subunit ribosomal RNA", at positions 524 to 776 of the family's 1533-position model. The record is from RNAcentral.
UGCGAAGGGGGCUAGCGUUGCUCGGAAUCACUGGGCGUAAAGGGUGCGUAGGCGGUUCUUUAAGUCAGGGGUGAAAUCCUGGAGCUCAACUCCAGAACUGCCUUUGAUACUGAAGAUCUUGAGUCCGGGAGAGGUGAGUGGAACUGCGAGUGUAGAGGUGAAAUUCGCAGAUAUUCGCAAGAACACCAGUGGCGAAGGCGGCUCACUGGCCCGGUACUGACGCUGAGGCACGAAAGCGUGGGGAGCAAACAGG